AAUGGAUGAAAGACUGGGAAUAAAAACAAACGGACUGACUGGUAAAAGAUGACAAGACUUGACCAUGACUCAAGGUUAACCACCUCCACCUAGAUAGGAUAAAAGGGUGGAUGAAUUUAUGUGGGUUUCUUUUACAGGAGUAGAAGGAUGACAAAAUAUUCGAGGAUGAGUGAACCUGUAAAUGCCAUUUUUGUGUCUUGUGUUGCUUACAGAGGUAACUGCGCAGCGUUACCAUUUACAUUUUCUUCCCUACAGGGUUACAGUUUUAAUGUUUUUCUAUUACAGGAUUUCUGGGCGGAUGUGUGAAGAAACGGUGUUUAUGGGUUAGGAGUUGGGGAUGCUAUUACACUGUAUUUACAGGAAAUGUUUUAUAGCACCUAUGGAAUGAGGAUGCCUGACUACGGUCAAUGUGCUGCUAAUGUUUGCUUUGCUUUGGUGAGAGGGGUGCAGUAGAAAACAGACAAGUGACAUGAAAACAAGUAAUAAUAACAAAUAACAAAUUUGGGGACAGUUUGACCUAGAGCCCACUAACUGGCCAUUAGGGGCUCUCUCUCUCGCUCUCUCUCUCUCUCUCUCUCUCUCUCUCUCUCUCUCUCUCUCUCUCUCUCUCUCUCUCUCUCUCUCUCUCAGGUUGUUGCUCUUUAACUCCUAGAACACGCCCUUGGCGAGGUGGGGGGAACUGGACCACCUUUCUGUGCCCCAUCAUCCUCUAUUAGACGACAUCCAAGCUAAGUAAACAUGUCUUGGCCCUUUCCCCCUGAAAUGACAGGCAGGCAAAGAUGUUGCGUCUUUGUUUGCUUCCUGGCCCUGGGUCUCAUUCCCAUUGGCAUAAUCCUGAUCUGUGAAGGGCCCCCGACACUUCUGACACCUUCAAGUUCAAAAGCUUCGCCCCCUUCUGACAGUCCCAAUCUGACAAAUGUAGCCCCUAGGGUCUUGCCCACCACUUCCUCUCCAGUUUUGCCCACGCCCGAUCCAUUUAGAAAGAAACGAGACACGGUUACCUCCUCGCCAACGGAUGAUGAAAACUCUGAUCGUGAGGGUGACGAACAUUAUCGUCUUUCUCUUGUUUAAAUGCUUCUAGAAUGGUUGUUUCUCUGUGGUGUUUUGUAUUAGGCUUGUUAUUAAUUGUUUCCCUCACCCACUUCCUCUUGAAGGAUAUAUCUGGUUGAACUGUGUCUGGUCGGGUUGUGAGGGUUAAGCGAUGUUCUCAGGGUCUCCGGACUUAAGCCUGAGCGAAUGUGUACUCCCACCACUGGAUAUAAAUUGUUUUAUUCCACACCCCUUCCUCACGUUUUACCAUAUUCACUUUUGAAUGUCCUUAGCAGUUACCGUUCUGAGUUUAUUUUACGGUUGAUUUAUUCUUUCACAUUUUCACGUUUAUAUCUCUCAUUAUUAUAGUAUACUCUGUACUCUCCACAUUUUUAUCAUUACUUAUGUUUUUUGGUUGCUGGGUUACAGGAACUGUUAAUUUUGUGUCACUACCCUGGUUGCACUAACUCGUUGUAUCCGUGUGUGCAGGACAGCUGUUACUGCUUUCGUCGGGAACCGAGACUGCUUGCAGCCGACCCCUGGGCAGGGUGGUGCCUGGACUCUUUUCUCCUCAUCUGCAAUGACAGAUAAAGACAAAUGAUAAGACCCGAGGAGUUUUUCGAGCCAGGCUUCGACACGUCUCUGUGUUCCUUUGAAUGUUACUUAUUUUUGUGUGUUGACCCAUUUAAGAUGGGUCAAAAGGGGGAUUUGAAGAAAAUAUAAUUUGAUCAAACAUUAUUCAGCUUUAAAUAUUGUUCAGCUUUAAAGUUACUGUGCAACUGUGUAAUAAAAAUGUGUGCUCACGACUUUGGCCUUGAGAGCGAUAAGAAGCGAUCGCCUCAUCCUGCAGGCGAAAGAUAUCUGCAAGCGAAGAGACUAGAACACCCAAGGCCGAUUUCCUUUUAUGGAGUUGUUUUUCUGCUAAUGCAGCACUUUCCUCACAACCCCCUCCUGUGUCCGGUUGUCUUCAUUCUCCGCCAGCCUGGUUAAGUCAAUUCCUCCUUAACAUCUAAAAGAACCUAUUUAAUGAAGGAAGACGGGUUCACUUUGUGUUUAAUAUUAUUCUAUUGCUGUUGUUUUUUUUUAUAUCCUUCACA
Long non-coding RNA from Astatotilapia calliptera (eastern happy), 2126 nucleotides. The record is from Ensembl. Lineage: Eukaryota; Metazoa; Chordata; Actinopteri; Cichliformes; Cichlidae.